RNAcentral lists this small RNA (1758 nucleotides) under Pan troglodytes (chimpanzee). RNAcentral's name for it is "retained intron". Lineage: Eukaryota; Metazoa; Chordata; Mammalia; Primates; Hominidae. The record is from RNAcentral.
UUACAGCUGUGAAUGGAUACACUUUUGGAAGUCUCCCAGGACUCUCCAUGUGUGCUGAAGACAGAGUAAAAUGGUACCUUUUUGGUAUGGGUAAUGAAGUUGAUGUGCACGCAGCUUUCUUUCACGGGCAAGCAUUGACUAACAAGAACUACCGUAUUGAUACAAUCAACCUCUUUCCUGCUACCCUGUUUGAUGCUUAUAUGGUGGCCCAGAACCCUGGAGAAUGGAUGCUCAGCUGUCAGAAUCUAAACCAUCUGAAAGCCGGUUUGCAAGCCUUUUUCCAGGUCCAGGAGUGUAACAAGUCUUCAUCAAAGGAUAAUAUCCGUGGGAAGCAUGUUAGACACUACUACAUUGCCGCUGAGGAAAUCAUCUGGAACUAUGCUCCCUCUGGUAUAGACAUCUUCACUAAAGAAAACUUAACAGCACCUGGAAGUGACUCAGCGGUGUUUUUUGAACAAGGUACCACAAGAAUUGGAGGCUCUUAUAAAAAGCUGGUUUAUCGUGAGUACACAGAUGCCUCCUUCACAAAUCGAAAGGAGAGAGGCCCUGAAGAAGAGCAUCUUGGCAUCCUGGGUCCUGUCAUUUGGGCAGAGGUGGGAGACACCAUCAGAGUAACCUUCCAUAACAAAGGAGCAUAUCCCCUCAGUAUUGAGCCGAUUGGGGUGAGAUUCAAUAAGAACAACGAGGGCACAUACUAUUCCCCAAAUUACAACCCCCAGAGCAGAAGUGUGCCUCCUUCAGCCUCCCAUGUGGCACCCACAGAAACAUUCACCUAUGAAUGGACUGUCCCCAAAGAAGUAGGACCCACUAAUGCAGAUCCUGUGUGUCUAGCUAAGAUGUAUUAUUCUGCUGUGGAUCCCACUAAAGAUAUAUUCACUGGGCUUAUUGGGCCAAUGAAAAUAUGCAAGAAAGGAAGUUUACAUGCAAAUGGGAGACAGAAAGAUGUAGACAAGGAAUUCUAUUUGUUUCCUACAGUAUUUGAUGAGAAUGAGAGUUUACUCCUGGAAGAUAAUAUUAGAAUGUUUACAACUGCACCUGAUCAGGUGGAUAAGGAAGAUGAAGACUUCCAGGAAUCUAAUAAAAUGCACUCCAUGAAUGGAUUCAUGUAUGGGAAUCAGCCGGGUCUCACUAUGUGCAAAGGAGAUUCGGUCGUGUGGUACUUAUUCAGCGCCGGAAAUGAGGCCGAUGUACAUGGAAUAUACUUUUCAGGAAACACAUAUCUGUGGAGAGGAGAACGGAGAGACACAGCAAACCUCUUCCCUCAAACAAGUCUUACGCUCCACAUGUGGCCUGACACAGAGGGUAUAUUUACUUAAAGCCAAGUCUCUAUUGGAUGGAUUUGUGUAGUUUUGGUUUAAAAUCCUGUAGCAGAAUGUGUUGGGUGAUAAACUUAUCCCUUCCCCAAGCCUCCGAAGUGCCCUUCCUACCUUUGAAAGAGCAAGUCUAGGCCACUAUCAGCUGAAGUAUGUACCAGAUAGGUCUGUUUCCUAGUUACUGAGGACAAUGUGGAGUAAAAGAACAUGGUGUGGUUUUCUCCAUUUCCAUAGGCUCCUCAAGAUGAUCCCUUUUUAGAUUAUGGUCCUUUUAAAGAUAGCUGGAAAAUCAGACUAGAAGGGGAAUGACUCCCAUAAAUAUUCUGCACCUAAACUUUUCAUCAUGUCUCUGUAGCCUAGAUGUAGUGUUGGCUUGUUGGUUGCAAGUGAAUAUUCUAUAUGCUAGCAUUGUAGCCAUGCAAAUUCAGAGACAUCUACAGACCUG